Molecule: small RNA, 148 nt
Filed under: Callithrix jacchus (white-tufted-ear marmoset)
Lineage: Eukaryota; Metazoa; Chordata; Mammalia; Primates; Cebidae
Description: Metazoan signal recognition particle RNA (ENSCJAG00000083925.1)
Source: Rfam by way of RNAcentral
GCCGGGCGUGGUGGCGUGUGCCUGUAAUCCCAGUUGCUUGGGAGGCUGAGGCAGGAGGAUUGCUUGAACCUGGGAGGCAGAGGUUGCAGUGAGCCAAGAUUGCACCACUGCGUUCCAGCCCGGGUGACAGAGCGAGACUCUGUCUCAA